CCCACCUGCAUAAGCAGGUAUCAUUAUCUGAAUACAUAGGGUAAUGAGGCGAACCGGGGGAACUGAAACAUCUAAGUACCCCGAGGAAAAGAAAUCAACCGAGAUUCCGAAAGUAGCGGCGAGCGAAAUUGGAUUAGCCCUUAAGCCUUUAAUGCGUCAGGUGAAAGUUCUGGAAAGGUCUGCGAUACAGGGUGAUAGCCCCGUAACCGGCAGCGCAUUUUAGGUGAAAUCGAGUAGGGCGGGACACGUGAUAUCCUGUCUGAAUAUGGGGGGACCAUCCUCCAAGGCUAAAUACUACUGACUGACCGAUAGUGAACCAGUACCGUGAGGGAAAGGCGAAAAGAACCCCUGUGAGGGGAGUGAAAUAGAACCUGAAACCGUGUACGUACAAGCAGUAGGAGCACCCUCGUGGUGUGACUGCGUACCUUUUGUAUAAUGGGUCAGCGACUUAUAUUCAGUAGCAAGGUUAACCAUCUAGGGGAGCCGUAGAGAA
RNAcentral lists this ribosomal RNA (493 nucleotides) under Vibrio alginolyticus. RNAcentral's name for it is "bacterial LSU rRNA". It matches the Rfam family "Bacterial large subunit ribosomal RNA", at positions 127 to 675 of the family's 2925-position model. Lineage: Bacteria; Pseudomonadati; Pseudomonadota; Gammaproteobacteria; Vibrionales; Vibrionaceae. The record is from RNAcentral.